RNAcentral lists this transfer RNA (67 nucleotides) under Marmota monax (woodchuck). RNAcentral describes it as "tRNA.Ala". The record is from RNAcentral. Lineage: Eukaryota; Metazoa; Chordata; Mammalia; Rodentia; Sciuridae.
GGUUGUAGCUCAGCGGUAGAGCGCUUGCUUAGCAUGUGCGAGGUGCUGGGUUUGAUCCUCAGCACCA